UACGUAGGGCGCAAGCGUUGUCCGGAAUUAUUGGGCGUAAAGAGCUCGUAGGUGGCUGGUCGCGUCUGCCGUGAAAGCCCGCAGCUUAACUGCGGGUCUGCGGUGGAUACGGGCCGGCUAGAGGUAGGUAGGGGCAAGUGGAAUUCCUGGUGUAGCGGUGAAAUGCGCAGAUAUCAGGAGGAACACCUGCGGUGUAGACGGCGUCCUGGACCACUACUGACACUGAGGCACGAAAGCGUGGGGAGCAAACAGGAUUAGAAACCCUAGUAGU
This 271-nucleotide ribosomal RNA is filed under the name uncultured bacterium. RNAcentral describes it as "partial 16S ribosomal RNA". It matches the Rfam family "Bacterial small subunit ribosomal RNA", at positions 524 to 794 of the family's 1533-position model. The record is from RNAcentral.